UACGAAGGGGGCUAGCGUUGCUCGGAAUUACUGGGCGUAAAGGGCGCGUAGGCGGAUAUCUAAGUCGGGGGUGAAAGCCCAGGGCUCAACCCUGGAACUGCCUUCGAUACUGGAUAUCUUGAGUUCGGGAGAGGUGAGUGGAAUGCCGAGUGUAGAGGUGAAAUUCGUAGAUAUUCGGCGGAACACCAGUGGCGAAGGCGACUCACUGGCCCGAUACUGACGCUGAGGCGCGAAAGCGUGGGGAGCAAACAGG
RNAcentral lists this ribosomal RNA (253 nucleotides) under uncultured bacterium. Its description in RNAcentral is "partial 16S ribosomal RNA". It matches the Rfam family "Bacterial small subunit ribosomal RNA", at positions 524 to 776 of the family's 1533-position model. The record is from RNAcentral.